GAAAAUACAACACUCAGAUUUGCCACUGGGCUUCUACUUUGCAGAUGUAUGUGGUGGCUUGUAUUUGCUUUUUACCUUUACGAGCUUAUGUUGUAUUCUGCUUAUGCCAUUAAAAAUGCUCUAAUACUCUUUUAUCCUUUCUCAGUCACAGGGGGCAUCACAGAAGAGCAGUUUCAGACACAUCAACAGCAGCUAGCUCAAAUGCAAAGGCAGCAACUCGCGCAGCUUCAGCAGAAACAGCAAUCCCAGCAUUCCUCACAGCAGACACAUCCAAAAGCACAGGGCUCAAGCACCUCGGACUGUAUGUCUAAAACACUUGACUCAGCCAGCGCCCACUUUGCUGCAUCUGCAGUGGUCAGUGCUCCUGUUCCAAGUCGCAGUGAGGGAUCUAAGGAACAGAACACUGGCCACAACAAUAUGAAUGGUGUUGUCCAGCCUUCAGGACCCUCUAAAACAUUAUAUUCCACCAAUAUGGCUUUAUCAUCCAGCCCAGGGAUUUCAGCUGUACAGCUUGUAAGGACAGUUGGCCACACUACUACAAACCACUUGAUCCCAGCGUUGUGCACAAGCAGUCCUCAGACACUUCCCAUGAACAAUUCCUGCCUGACCAAUGCAGUGCACCUCAAUAAUGUCAGUGUUGUUUCUCCUGUCAAUGUGCAUAUCAAUACACGGACUUCAGCACCAUCGCCAACAGCCUUAAAACUUGCCACAGUUGCUGCCAGUAUGGACAGAGUGCCAAAGGUUACUCCCAGCAGUGCCAUCAGCAGCAUAGCCAGAGAGAACCAUGAACCAGAAAGACUGGGUUUAAAUGGAAUAGCAGAGACAACAGUAGCUAUGGAAGUGACAUAACGUAAAGUGUGUGGCUUUGACCUGUGUGGACGGUUGCAGUCAUUCAUAUUCCAGCGGAAUACAAAGGCGACACUCUGGAUCACAGAGCAGAACAAUGGACCCAAAUGGAGUACAGUAUACCGGAUGUUAAGUCGAUGUAUGAUGUAUAUUUUGUAAAAUUGGGAAAAUCACUACCUUGUAAAAUAGUUUAUUUGUAUCAUCAAUAUUAUUUCUGUUACUUGAAUAGUAGAUAUUCAUCAUCAUGCUUUUGCACUUGAAUUUGCAACUGAAUGGAUUUUAAAAAUAAUUCUUUAAUGGGAUCAUGAGCAUGAAAUGGGAUCCUGCAUCACUUGUUUUAACUAUUUAUUUUGCCAUGUUUACAUUUUGUAUCUUGU
RNAcentral lists this long non-coding RNA (1223 nucleotides) under Rattus norvegicus (Norway rat). RNAcentral's name for it is "long non-coding RNA NONRATT018127". The record is from RNAcentral. Lineage: Eukaryota; Metazoa; Chordata; Mammalia; Rodentia; Muridae.